GUGGCUGUAGCUCAGUGGUAGAGCGUCAGGUCGUGGCCCUGAAGGCGCCGGUUCGACUCCGGCCAGUCACCCCA
RNAcentral lists this transfer RNA (74 nucleotides) under Phytohabitans maris. Its description in RNAcentral is "tRNA-His". It matches the Rfam family "tRNA". Rfam says of the family: Transfer RNA (tRNA) molecules are approximately 80 nucleotides in length. Their secondary structure includes four short double-helical elements and three loops (D, anti-codon, and T loops). Further hydrogen bonds mediate the characteristic L-shaped molecular structure. tRNAs have two regions of fundamental functional importance: the anti-codon, which is responsible for specific mRNA codon recognition, and the 3' end, to which the tRNAs corresponding amino acid is attached (by aminoacyl-tRNA synthetases). tRNAs cope with the degeneracy of the genetic code in two manners: having more than one tRNA (with a specific anti-codon) for a particular amino acid; and 'wobble' base-pairing, i.e. permitting non-standard base-pairing at the 3rd anti-codon position. Lineage: Bacteria; Bacillati; Actinomycetota; Actinomycetes; Micromonosporales; Micromonosporaceae. The record is from RNAcentral.